Vitis vinifera (wine grape) is the source of this 821-nucleotide long non-coding RNA. RefSeq lists it as uncharacterized. Lineage: Eukaryota; Viridiplantae; Streptophyta; Magnoliopsida; Vitales; Vitaceae. The record is from RefSeq and is a predicted model, not a curated record. The transcript is spliced from 2 exons.
CUGACCUGGUAAAAACUAAAAACACAUCAAUCGGAGAAACAGUUGGAACUUCAGAAUUUGAAUGCUGGGGAACGCAUAAAUAUGGUAAAAAUAUAUUACUAGUUUGCAUUUCAUCCUAGACCUGUUUACUCUCCAAGGAAGGAACAUAUUUUUGCAUCAUGAAAUCUUGAAGGAUUUCUUUUUCACGUGCAUAGAACUUGCGAGUUCUUUGAUAGAACAUAGAGAAGGAAAGAGAACAUAGGGAAGGAUUUCUUCUCUUCUUCUUUUUUUUAAAAAAUUUUAUUUUUAUCCUGAAUUAAAAAAAAGUCUUGUUUUUUGUAAAUUAAGGCCCUGUGUGGAGCUUGGAAAGAGCAUUCUUCCAUUUCUUUUCUUCUUUCCAGAUCCAAUAUCCUGCAAAGUGUUGGUGCUGCGAAGGAGGAGAUACUUUGGAUUUCUUCUCCUUUUGGUCCAAAGAGAAAAGGGCCAGAGAGGCAGAGGAAAGCUGGGGAAUGCAAAAGAUGAUGAAACUGAAAAGGAUUUUUCAGCACGGAUGAAACAGGCAAGAAAUGACAGCAACAGGGAAUUCAAGCAAGAAGAUUAUUGUAAGCACGUAUAACUGAUUUUUCACUUUGAUAAGUAGGCUAAGGCUUUGUGCAUGGGGGGUUGCACAGCAUAUAAAAAGGCAGAAGCACCGAACACAACACUACAAUAGCAUGAUCCAAAGUCCAAACUGGGAGUCCAGCUUUGGUUUCUUGCUUCAUUAGUAUGGCUAAUCAAUGUUUCCAACUGGUUUGAAGCACUAACCUACAAAACUCUCUUUGGAAUGGAUGGCUAUUCUAUUA